Molecule: small nuclear RNA, 150 nt
Filed under: Crocodylus porosus (Australian saltwater crocodile)
Lineage: Eukaryota; Metazoa; Chordata; Crocodylia; Crocodylidae
Description: U1 spliceosomal RNA (ENSCPRG00005006955.1)
Source: RNAcentral
UUGUUUAGCCUGGCAGGGGAAGCACCAUGAUCAAUCAGGUGGUUUUCCCAGGGCAGGUGAUUGGCUCUGAUAUGUCCUCCAUCAGAGGUCUAUAUUGAGCAGAUUCUUUUUGGUGUUGGGUGGUGGAACCGGAGCUUGCUCCAUCCACUC